GAGGUUCUUUGUGACUGACGGAACUGCAGAGCACUGCACGGGAGCAAAGAAUAAUACAGGAAAGAGCUGCUCUUUCCGCCGACCGUCUGGGCACAGUUA
Molecule: non-coding RNA, 99 nt
Filed under: Clostridium sp.
Lineage: Bacteria; Bacillati; Bacillota; Clostridia; Eubacteriales; Clostridiaceae
Also listed under: 1 other name
Description: ZTP sequence
Rfam family: ZMP/ZTP riboswitch aptamer (pfl RNA motif)
About the family: Previously known as pfl RNA. ZMP is also known as AICAR.
Source: RNAcentral